RNAcentral lists this ribosomal RNA (806 nucleotides) under Geodermatophilus sp. Its description in RNAcentral is "bacterial SSU rRNA". It matches the Rfam family "Bacterial small subunit ribosomal RNA", at positions 67 to 883 of the family's 1533-position model. Lineage: Bacteria; Bacillati; Actinomycetota; Actinomycetes; Geodermatophilales; Geodermatophilaceae. The record is from RNAcentral.
CGGUGAUCCUCGCUUGCGGGGUGAUCAGUGGCGAACGGGUGAGUAACACGUGGGCAACCUGCCCCCGGCUCUGGGAUAACUCCAAGAAAUUGGGGCUAAUACCGGAUGUGACCGCUGGCCGCAUGGUCUGGUGGUGGAAAGGGUUUCCGGCUGGGGAUGGGCCCGCGGCCUAUCAGCUUGUUGGUGGGGUAGUGGCCUACCAAGGCGACGACGGGUAGCCGGCCUGAGAGGGUGACCGGCCACACUGGGACUGAGACACGGCCCAGACUCCUACGGGAGGCAGCAGUGGGGAAUAUUGCGCAAUGGGCGGAAGCCUGACGCAGCGACGCCGCGUGGGGGAUGACGGCCUUCGGGUUGUAAACCUCUUUCAGCAGGGACGAAGCCUCACGGUGACGGUACCUGCAGAAGAAGCACCGGCCAACUACGUGCCAGCAGCCGCGGUAAUACGUAGGGUGCAAGCGUUGUCCGGAAUUAUUGGGCGUAAAGAGCUCGUAGGCGGUUGGUCGCGUCGGCUGUGAAAACCCGGAGCUCAACUCCGGGCCUGCAGUCGAUACGGGCCGACUUGAGUGUUGCAGGGGAGACUGGAAUUCCUGGUGUAGCGGUGAAAUGCGCAGAUAUCAGGAGGAACACCGGUGGCGAAGGCGGGUCUCUGGGCAACAACUGACGCUGAGGAGCGAAAGCGUGGGGAGCGAACAGGAUUAGAUACCCUGGUAGUCCACGCCGUAAACGUUGGGCGCUAGGUGUGGGGGCCAUUCCACGGUCUCCGUGCCGCAGCUAACGCAUUAAGCGCCCCGCCUGGGGAGUAC